CACGCAGGCGGUUUGUUAAGCUAGAUGUGAAAGCCCCGAGCUCAACUUGGGAUGGUCAUUUAGAACUGGCAGACUAGAGUCUUGGAGAGGGGAGUGGAAUUCCAGGUGUAGCGGUGAAAUGCGUAGAUAUCUGGAGGAACAUCAGUGGCGAAGGCGACUCCCUGGCCAAAGACUGACGCUCAUGUGCGAAAGUGUGGUAGCGAACA
Molecule: ribosomal RNA, 206 nt
Filed under: uncultured bacterium
Lineage: Bacteria
Description: partial 16S ribosomal RNA
Rfam family: Bacterial small subunit ribosomal RNA
Source: RNAcentral